This 893-nucleotide ribosomal RNA is filed under the name Streptomyces sp. H1R9_pA. Its description in RNAcentral is "bacterial SSU rRNA". It matches the Rfam family "Bacterial small subunit ribosomal RNA", at positions 8 to 916 of the family's 1533-position model. Lineage: Bacteria; Bacillati; Actinomycetota; Actinomycetes; Kitasatosporales; Streptomycetaceae. The record is from RNAcentral.
AGAGUUUGAUCCUGGCUCAGGAUGAACGCUGGCGGCGUGCUUAACACAUGCAAGUCGAACGAUGAAGCCCUUCGGGGUGGAUUAGUGGCGAACGGGUGAGUAACACGUGGGCAAUCUGCCCUUCACUCUGGGACAAGCCCUGGAAACGGGGUCUAAUACCGGAUAACACUCUGUCCCGCAUGGGACGGGGUUGAAAGCUCCGGCGGUGAAGGAUGAGCCCGCGGCCUAUCAGCUUGUUGGUGGGGUGAUGGCCUACCAAGGCGACGACGGGUAGCCGGCCUGAGAGGGCGACCGGCCACACUGGGACUGAGACACGGCCCAGACUCCUACGGGAGGCAGCAGUGGGGAAUAUUGCACAAUGGGCGAAAGCCUGAUGCAGCGACGCCGCGUGAGGGAUGACGGCCUUCGGGUUGUAAACCUCUUUCAGCAGGGAAGAAGCGAGAGUGACGGUACCUGCAGAAGAAGCGCCGGCUAACUACGUGCCAGCAGCCGCGGUAAUACGUAGGGCGCAAGCGUUGUCCGGAAUUAUUGGGCGUAAAGAGCUCGUAGGCGGCUUGUUGCGUCGGUUGUGAAAGCCCGGGGCUUAACCCCGGGUCUGCAGUCGAUACGGGCAGGCUAGAGUGUGGUAGGGGAGAUCGGAAUUCCUGGUGUAGCGGUGAAAUGCGCAGAUAUCAGGAGGAACACCGGUGGCGAAGGCGGAUCUCUGGGCCAUUACUGACGCUGAGGAGCGAAAGCGUGGGGAGCGAACAGGAUUAUAUACCCUGGUAGUCCACGCCGUAAACGUUGGGAACUAGGUGUUGGCGACAUUCCACGUCGUCGGUGCCGCAGCUAACGCAUUAACUUCCCCGCCUGGGGAGUACGGCCGCUAGGCUAAAACUCAAAGGAAUUGACGG